This 490-nucleotide ribosomal RNA is filed under the name uncultured bacterium. RNAcentral describes it as "bacterial SSU rRNA". It matches the Rfam family "Bacterial small subunit ribosomal RNA", at positions 28 to 507 of the family's 1533-position model. The record is from RNAcentral.
GAUGAACGCUAGCUACAGGCUUAACACAUGCAAGUCGAGGGGUAACGAGAGGGAAGCUUGCUUUCCUUGUCGACGACCGGCGAAUGGGUGAGUAACGCGUAUCCAACCUGCCCUUCAGUAAGGGAUAGCCUUUCGAAAGAAAGAAUAAUACCUUAUAAUAUCGUUUGAUGACAUCAGACGACGAUUAAAGAUUUAUCGCUGAAGGAUGGGGAUGCGUCCCAUUAGGCAGUAGGCGGGGUAACGGCCCACCUAACCUACGAUGGGUAGGGGUUCUGAGAGGAAGGUCCCCCACAUUGGAACUGAGACACGGUCCAAACUCCUACGGGAGGCAGCAGUGAGGAAUAUUGGUCAAUGGCCGUAAGGCUGAACCAGCCAAGUAGCGUGCAGGAUGACGGCCCUAUGGGUUGUAAACUGCUUUUAAACGGGGAUAAAGUGAGCCACGUGUGGUUUAUUGCAGGUACCGUUUGAAUAAGGACCGGCUAAUUCCGUG